AUCCAGCUGACGAGUCCAAAACAGGACGAAACGCGUGUCCUGGAU
RNAcentral lists this non-coding RNA (45 nucleotides) under Schistosoma margrebowiei. The record is from RNAcentral. Lineage: Eukaryota; Metazoa; Platyhelminthes; Trematoda; Strigeidida; Schistosomatidae.